UCGAGAAUCUUCCACAAUGGACGCAAGUCUGAUGGAGCGACGCCGCGUGGUUGAUGAAGUCCUUCGGGACGUAAAAACCUUUUAUGAGCAAAAAAGUUAUUGAUUAGCUCAUGAAUAAGGGGUUGCUAAACUCGUGCCAGCAGCAGCGGUAAUACGAGUGCCCCAAGCGUUAUCCGGAAUCAUUGGGCGUAAAGGGUGUGUAGGUGGUCGUGUUAGUCUUCUGUCAAAUUCUUCGGCUUAACCGGGGUUCCGCAGGGGAAACGGCACGACUAGAGGAUGCGAGAGGAAUAUGGAACUCAUAGUGGAGGGGUGAAAUCCGUUGAUAUUAUGGGGAACACCGAAAGCGAAGGCAGUAUUCUGGCGCACUCCUGACACUGAAACACGAAAGCGUGGGUCGCGAAUGGGAUUAGAUACCCCCGUAGUCC
This 425-nucleotide ribosomal RNA is filed under the name uncultured bacterium. RNAcentral describes it as "bacterial SSU rRNA". It matches the Rfam family "Bacterial small subunit ribosomal RNA", at positions 355 to 796 of the family's 1533-position model. The record is from RNAcentral.